ACGGGAGGCAGCAGUGGGGGAUAUUGCACAAUGGGGGAAACCCUGAUGCAGCGACGCCGCGUGAGUGAUGAAGUAUUUCGGUAUGUAAAGCUCUAUCAGCAGGGAAGAAAAUGACGGUACCUGACUAAGAAGCUCCGGCUAAAUACGUGCCAGCAGCCGCGGUAAUACGUAUGGAGCAAGCGUUAUCCGGAUUUACUGGGUGUAAAGGGAGCGUAGACGGUGACGCAAGUCUGAAGUGAAAGGUGUGGGCUCAACCCGCAAACUGCUUUGGAAACUGUGUGACUAGAGUGUCGGAGAGGUAAGUGGAAUUCCUAGUGUAGCGGUGAAAUGCGUAGAUAUUAGGAGGAACACCAGUGGCGAAGGCGGCUUACUGGGCGAUAACUGACGUUGAGGCUCGAAAGCGUGGGGAGCAAACAGGAUUAGAUACCCUGGUA
Molecule: ribosomal RNA, 434 nt
Filed under: uncultured bacterium
Lineage: Bacteria
Description: partial 16S ribosomal RNA
Rfam family: Bacterial small subunit ribosomal RNA
Source: RNAcentral